GAUGAACGCUGGCGGCGUGCCUAACACAUGCAAGUCGAACGGAGGUUACGGACGGGCGUUUUCGGAUGGAAGGCUGUAAUUCUUAGGGGCGGUCGGGUGUGUAACGCGUGGGCAACCUGCCCUAUUCAGGGGGAUAGCAGCUGGAAACUGCUGUUAAUACCGCAUAAGUCGCCGAGACCGCAUGGUUUUGCCGUGACAUGAGCGAUCAGGUAUAGGAUGGGCCCGCUUCCGAUUAGCCAGUUGGCAGGGUAAAAGCCUACCAAAGCAACGAUCGGUACCCGGAAUGAGAGGUGGGACGGCCACAUUGGGACUGCGACACGGAGCAAUCUCCUACGGGAGGCAGCAGUGGGGGAUAUUGACCAAUGGAGGAGCGUCCAGUGCAGCGACGCCGCGUGAUGGAAGAAGCAUUUCGGUAUGUAAAGCUCUAUCAGCAGGUAAGAUGUUGACGGUACCUGAUGAAGAAGCCCCGACUAACUACGUG
Molecule: ribosomal RNA, 481 nt
Filed under: uncultured bacterium
Lineage: Bacteria
Description: partial 16S ribosomal RNA
Rfam family: Bacterial small subunit ribosomal RNA
Source: RNAcentral